CGAUAAAGGGAAGGAAAAAGUGAUCGAAUAACCGUUGAAGCCGUUCGACAACAUCCGAGAUUUUGCUCGUUAGCGAUCGGAUUCGGGAUCAUUAAAGUCGAAGUCAUCUACACUAUCAAAGCGUCCAUUUUGGUAUAAUUUUGGUUGAACUUUGAAAUGGCAUGUAUAGGACUACCCUAAUGUUGAAGGUCAUGUACCUUUCGGUUUUGUGUAAACUUAGAUAGCCAUGCGAAAAUGACUUAUAUCGUUUUGGUAUGAUACUAUAAUCGUUGUAUGUUGAUCAUUAUGGGGUAUGGAAUUGUUUUGAGAAGAUUAGCCAUUGGAAUGGUUAAUCAUGAUCACACUUUGUGCUAUGUAUGCAAAGAGGGGCAAUUGAAUCGUGGAAAUCAUGAAA
This is a long non-coding RNA of Gossypium arboreum, 394 nucleotides long. RefSeq lists it as uncharacterized. The record is from RefSeq and is a predicted model, not a curated record. NCBI's taxonomy places the organism in Eukaryota, Viridiplantae, Streptophyta, Magnoliopsida, Malvales, Malvaceae. The transcript is spliced from 2 exons.